GAACGCUGGCGGCGUGCCUAAUACAUGCAAGUCGAACGAACUCUGGUAUUGAUUGGUGCUUGCAUCAUGAUUUACAUUUGAGUGAGUGGCGAACUGGUGAGUAACACGUGGGAAACCUGCCCAGAAGCGGGGGAUAACACCUGGAAACAGAUGCUAAUACCGCAUAACAACUUGGACCGCAUGGUCCGAGUUUGAAAGAUGGCUUCGGCUAUCACUUUUGGAUGGUCCCGCGGCGUAUUAGCUAGAUGGUGAGGUAACGGCUCACCAUGGCAAUGAUACGUAGCCGACCUGAGAGGGUAAUCGGCCACAUUGGGACUGAGACACGGCCCAAACUCCUACGGGAGGCAGCAGUAGGGAAUCUUCCACAAUGGACGAAAGUCUGAUGGAGCAACGCCGCGUGAGUGAAGAAGGGUUUCGGCUCGUAAAACUCUGUUGUUAAAGAAGAACAUAUCUGAGAGUAACUGUUCAGGUAUUGACGGUAUUUAACCAGAAAGCCACGGCUAACUACGUGCCAGCAGCCGCGGUAAUACGUAGGUGGCAAGCGUUGUCCGGAUUUAUUGGGCGUAAAGCGAGCGCAGGCGGUUUUUUAAGUCUGAUGUGAAAGCCUUCGGCUCAACCGAAGAAGUGCAUCGGAAACUGGGAAACUUGAGUGCAGAAGAGGACAGUGGAACUCCAUGUGUAGCGGUGAAAUGCGUAGAUAUAUGGAAGAACACCAGUGGCGAAGGCGGCUGUCUGGUCUGUAACUGACGCUGAGGCUCGAAAGUAUGGGUAGCAAACAGGAUUAGAUACCCUGGUAGUCCAUACCGUAAACGAUGAAUGCUAAGUGUUGGAGGGUUUCCGCCCUUCAGUGCUGCAGCUAACGCAUUAAGCAUUCCGCCUGGGGAGUACGGCCGCAAGGCUGAAACUCAAAGGAAUUGACGGGGGCCCGCACAAGCGGUGGAGCAUGUGGUUUAAUUCGAAGCUACGCGAAGAACCUUACCAGGUCUUGACAUACUAUGCAAAUCUAAGAGAUUAGACGUUCCCUUCGGGGACAUGGAUACAGGUGGUGCAUGGUUGUCGUCAGCUCGUGUCGUGAGAUGUUGGGUUAAGUCCCGCAACGAGCGCAACCCUUAUUAUCAGUUGCCAGCAUUAAGUUGGGCACUCUGGUGAGACUGCCGGUGACAAACCGGAGGAAGGUGGGGAUGACGUCAAAUCAUCAUGCCCCUUAUGACCUGGGCUACACACGUGCUACAAUGGAUGGUACAACGAGUUGCGAACUCGCGAGAGUAAGCUAAUCUCUUAAAGCCAUUCUCAGUUCGGAUUGUAGGCUGCAACUCGCCUACAUGAAGUCGGAAUCGCUAGUAAUCGCGGAUCAGCAUGCCGCGGUGAAUACGUUCCCGGGCCUUGUACACACCGCCCGUCACACCAUGAGAGUUUGUAACACCCAAAGUCGGUGGGGUAACCUUUUAGGAACCAGCCGCCUAAGGUGGGACAGAUGAUUAGGGUGAA
Molecule: ribosomal RNA, 1488 nt
Filed under: Lactiplantibacillus plantarum
Lineage: Bacteria; Bacillati; Bacillota; Bacilli; Lactobacillales; Lactobacillaceae
Description: bacterial SSU rRNA
Rfam family: Bacterial small subunit ribosomal RNA
Source: RNAcentral